AACAGUUUAUUUAUUUAUUUAUUGGUUCGAUUUAUAUAUGCCGCCCUUCUCCGGAGACUCAGGGCGGCUUACAAUGCGUUAAGCAAUAGCCUUCAUACUUUUUGAAUAUACCUGCUUAGUAGGGCUUUCGCCCCCCCCAAGCGGUGUUCUUUUUUAUACAAAGUCAGCUUAUUGCCCCCACAAUCCGGGUCCUCAUUUUACCUACCUCGGAAGGAUGGAAGGCUGAGUCAACCUUGAGCCUGGUGGGAUUUGAACGCGCAGUAAUUGCAGGCAGCUGGUGCUACUUAACAGUGCUUUAAUCUGCUGCGCCACCAAGGCUCUUAACAGUGCAUGGAAACUGAUCAAAGAGAGAUUCAACCUAGAAAUAAGGAGACAUUUUCUUGACAGUGAGAACAAUCAACCGAUGGAGCAGAAGUUGCCUUCGGAAGUUGUGGGGGAUUCAUCAAUUGAAGGUCUUCAAGAAGAGACUGGACAGCCACUGGUCUGGAAUGGUGAAGGGUCCCCUUCUCGAGCAGGGGGUUGGACUAGAUGACCUCCAAGCUCAAGGCGGUGAACAUACCUCAGACUCCUUCAUCCCCACAACAACAACCUUGUGAGGUAGGCGAAGGCUGAGAGAAGGACUGGUUCAAGGUCACCCACCUGGUUUUCAUCCCCAAGAUGGGACUUAAUCUCAAUAUCUUUUUUAUAUUGUGGUGACCAAAAUUGGAUGUAACAGAUGCUCCAGCAGAUGCACUUAGCUGAACAAUUGGAUUUUCCACCAGCUCCAUCACCUGCUGCAUUACAGUGGCUUCAAGCAUCCUUAGAAAGCCUCUCAUCUUCUACUGAAUCUUCACCAGUUCUGGAAAAAGGGCUUCCAGAUUCAGUGAAAAACCCAGACCAGAAAGGUCUUGAAGCUUCUAAACAAGAUUACAAAAAAUGGCUUGAGAUAUAUUAUAAUGAACCUCAAAGGGGAAGGACCAAAACCGCCCCAUCUAGGAAUUCAGGAAUGGCUUAAAGCAUGUAUUAAAUGAUCUACCAAAGCCUAAAGUAGAGGUUUGAGAUACCCUAAGUAAUGGCUGGUUUGAGAACCAAGUAUCAUUGUUAUGAAAGACCGAUGGAAAUGGCUUCAAAGAUCUCUAGAAAGCCUCUUAUCAUCUGAAGAACCCAGACCAGUUCUGAAAAAAUGGCUUCAAGAAUCCUUGGGAAACCUGGAGAAGGUAGAACCUGAAAAAAGAUGCCAAAAUAUGGCUUGAACCACCUUAAAUAACCUUGAAGAAAAGGAGUGAAAUGGCUCAUGUGGUUAGGACACUGGUAUGAUGAUUUUCAGGCUCACGUUCGAGACCCAGUUGCUACUACAGACAGGGUAAGGUCCCAUCACUUUGCUCCUGUUCCUGCCAACCCAACAGUUCGAAAGCGGGCACCGUGAGUAGAUAGAUGGUUACCACUUUGGUGGGCAGCUUAAUGGGGACAUGAAGUAAUCCCCAAUUGAUUGUCCCCUGGGCAACAUUGAUGUCACUGUCUAAUUCUUUCAAUGUGGAAAUGCUUUUGUGCUCCUGACAUGACUGUCGACAGCGGAAGGACCUGAAGCACCCCAUCUAGAUACUCAGAAAUGGCUUGAAACAUCUAUUAAGGGCAUCCAGGAUUUCAAAGAACAAUAAAUCAUUAAAAACUAGCAUGGUAAAGAGUAAGGAGUGAGCGAACCUGGUGGCUUCAAGCAUUUUUAGCAAGUUCCAGAGAGUGUGGUUCUACUAUAUACAGAACAGUGGCAGGGGUGAAAUCUGUCUGGGCCAAACUAUUUAAUUCGAUUUUAUUUCUGCUUUUUAAAUUUUGUAUGUAUGUAUUUUAUUGUUGGCUGUUCACCGCCCUGAGUCCUUCGGGGGUAGGGCGGUAUACAAAUUAAAUAAAAGUAAAAUAAAGUAAAGUCCGGACCAGCUGCUGCGGGGAGGAAGGUAAGGCUGAAGAAAGAGGCGGUUGUGGGGGAGAAGCGGGGCUACGGCCAGGGCCUCUGAAGGAGCAGAAAGGACUGAGGAAGGGAGAGUGGGCGGCAUGCAGGAGGAGGCAUUUGACAGAUUAGGCCAGGCCUGGGCAGAAAAUAGGUAGAUAGGUAGAAAUUCAAUUUUUUUUCCUAAUGGGUUCUGUGGGCGUGGCUUGGGGGGGUCAUGUAACUGAAUAGGCAUGGACAUGAGCGAUGUCACAUUAGCCAUGCCCACUCAGUCAGUGACCCCCCCCAGCAAGCCACACCCACAGAACCGGUAGGAAAAAAAAUUUGAAUACCAUCACUGCUUGCAAUGCCUAUUUCUUUCCCCUCUCUGUCCCAUCAGUCCCCCUGCUAAACUUGAGAUGUGAUGAAGAAACAAAAUUAAAAAUUUAAGUCUAUCAAAAAAUACUUUGAGAAAUAUCUAUUGGCAGCAGAUAUAAAACUCCACUGAACAAAGUAUCAAAGAUAUGAGCACAUCCAAUAAAAAUAAGUCAAAUAUUUCACAAAG
This is a non-coding RNA of Pantherophis guttatus, 2465 nucleotides long. The record is from RefSeq and is a predicted model, not a curated record. NCBI's taxonomy places the organism in Eukaryota, Metazoa, Chordata, Lepidosauria, Squamata, Colubridae.